This is a long non-coding RNA of Limulus polyphemus (Atlantic horseshoe crab), 969 nucleotides long. RefSeq lists it as uncharacterized. The record is from RefSeq and is a predicted model, not a curated record. Lineage: Eukaryota; Metazoa; Arthropoda; Merostomata; Xiphosura; Limulidae. The transcript has 2 exons.
AGCUUCAGGUUUUAUCUAUAGCUGGUUGAAGAGCUGCUUUACCUGCAACUUUCAAAUCCUCUGGAAGACAUCAGUUCCUCUUGUCCCAUUGUCCAAGAACCUCUUUCAAUCCUUUCCUCUUAAUGACCCUAAGUUUAUAGACACUGCCCAAAAUGUAACUUGGGUUUAUGCUUGUAUUUCUUUGCUUCUUUCCUUAUUGACGAUACGUAACAUUUAUGCUCUUGAUGCUUCACAUACAUUGUUUUCUUGGAAGGUCUUAUACCCAAAUCAAGCUUCCCAAGGAAAAUCUUUUAGUAUGUCAGAGGUAAGUACCUGUUUGUUAUUGAUUUUAAUUCUAAUAAUUAUAAUUUCUUUAGAUAACAAUUUUUAAUAGUGAUGUUUAAAUGAGCUGACUAAGAUACCAACUGAUGUUAAAGUAUGUGGAGUUUAAAUACUCAAAUUUUUGCACAAAAUAUUAUAAAAACAAGUUAAUACUUCAAAAUUCUAAAGUAACAAUCUAUUUUUGAUCAAAUAAGUUUUGGAAACCCAUGUGGCAACUACUUUUUGACCACUAGAGUUAUAAAUUGGCUCAAUUUUAUUAUGUUUUAUAUAUUUUGGACGAGGAUACUUUACUUCAUAUCCUUUAUCUCUUUAUGAUAUUAAAGAAAAAUGCAGUGAUAUAAAGAUAACUUAGUAAUUGUACAGUUAAUAAUAUAAGGCUGAAAGUUGUAAUAAUACCACAAGAAUGUUGUGAAUCAUACCGUAAUUGUGUUUUAAAAAAAUAUUAAUAAAAUUUGUUUUAUUGGUUUCUCAUUUUCAAUAUUUGGUGAAUUAUGAGCUGUAUACAAUGUAAUUUUUUUUCUCAUGUUUUUUUUAGAAGGGACAAGGAGUGGAUAAACAAAUGGAUCUCCAAAUUGAACCCAAUUCUGACACUAGAAAAUCUUGCAUUGGAAACCUUGUUCGCCAACAUAGUGGAAGAAGAGGAGCAAA